AAAAAAAUCCCUCAAUGUUUUCAAAGAUGAACAUAUGCCUGUUCAGAAAAUAAUUUCUAGAAGCUUUUCUAUUAGAAGCAGAUAAAAGAGGAGAAGACUGGAAUUAGACUUGUCUUUCUGACCAUCCUUCCUUACCUCUGGAAAAUUUCAAUCCCCAACAUGGAAGGAUAAGAGA
Sapajus apella (tufted capuchin) is the source of this 175-nucleotide long non-coding RNA. RefSeq lists it as uncharacterized. The transcript is spliced from 3 exons. Lineage: Eukaryota; Metazoa; Chordata; Mammalia; Primates; Cebidae. The record is from RefSeq and is a predicted model, not a curated record.